AAUCAACGCUGGCGGCGUGCCUAACACAUGCAAGUCGAACGCGAAAGUCCCUUCGGGGGCGAGUAGAGUGGCGUCCGGGUGAGUAACGCGUGGGUAAUCUACCCUUGGGUGGGGAAUAACCAGUCGAAAGACUGGCUAAUACCGCAUAAUGCAGCGGCUCGACAUCGAGACAGUUGUUAAAGCUCUUUCGCAAAGAAGGGCGCCUGAGGAGGAGCCUGCGUCCGAUUAGCUAGUUGGCAGGGUAAUGGCCUACCAAGGCAACGAUCGGUAGCUGGUCUGAGAGGACGGCCAGCCACAAUGGCACUGAAACACGGGCCAUACUCCUACGGGAGGCAGCAGUGGGGAAUUUUUCGCAAUGGGGGAAACCCUGACGAAGCAACGCCGCGUGGAGGAUGAAGGUCUUCGGAUUGUAAACUCCUGUCGACCGGGACGAAUGCACUCGACCUAAUACGUCGAGCUGUUGACGGUACCGGUGGAGGAAGCCACGGCUAACUCUGUGCCAGC
This 504-nucleotide ribosomal RNA is filed under the name uncultured bacterium. RNAcentral's name for it is "bacterial SSU rRNA". It matches the Rfam family "Bacterial small subunit ribosomal RNA", at positions 32 to 512 of the family's 1533-position model. The record is from RNAcentral.